AUUGAACGCUGGCGGCAGGCUUAACACAUGCAAGUCGAGCGAGGUGAUGGUGCUUGCACUAUCACUUAGCGGCGGACGGGUGAGUAAUGCUUAGGAAUCUGCCUAUUAGUGGGGGACAACAUCUCGAAAGGGAUGCUAAUACCGCAUACGUCCUACGGGAGAAAGCAGGGGAUCACUUGUGACCUUGCGCUAAUAGAUGAGCCUAAGUCGGAUUAGCUAGUUGGUGGGGUAAAGGCCUACCAAGGCGACGAUCUGUAGCGGGUCUGAGAGGAUGAGCCGCCACACUGGGACUGAGACACGGCCCAGACUCCUACGGGAGGCAGCAGUGGGGAAUAUUGGACAAUGGGGGGAACCCUGAUCCAGCCAUGCCGCGUGCGUAAAGAAGGCCUUAUGGUUGUAAAGCACUUUAAGCGAGGAGGAGGCUCUUUUGGUUAAUACCCAAGAUGAGUGGACGUUACUCGCAGAAUAAGCACCGGCUAACUCUGUGCCAGCCGCCGCGGUAA
This 503-nucleotide ribosomal RNA is filed under the name uncultured bacterium. RNAcentral's name for it is "partial 16S ribosomal RNA". It matches the Rfam family "Bacterial small subunit ribosomal RNA", at positions 30 to 523 of the family's 1533-position model. The record is from RNAcentral.